Molecule: ribosomal RNA, 135 nt
Filed under: uncultured marine bacterium
Lineage: Bacteria
Description: partial 16S ribosomal RNA
Rfam family: Bacterial small subunit ribosomal RNA
Source: RNAcentral
UGGGGAAUAUUGGACAAUGGGCGCAAGCAUGAUCCAGCAAUGCCGCGUGAGUGAUGAAGGCCUUAGGGUUGUAAAGCUCUUUUACCCGGGAUGAUAAUGACAGUACCGGGAGAAUAAGCCCCGGCUAACUUCGUG